GACACAUUAAAACUGCAAAUUCCACAUGAAGAUGAUUUGUAAAAAAUGUUAAUGUAUUUAUUAGAAAUAUAUAUUACAUUUUAUUUCAAAUACACAUGUGCAUACAAAAUGUACAUACAGAAAUAUACAUACUGUACUUCAAUACUCACGCCAGAAAUUAUCAAAUUUAGAAGUUUUGGAUUCAUUUAUGCUACCAAUAAAAGAUUCUAGGGUUCUUACAGAAAAAAUUGAUUCCAAAAUAAAACUUUGCGCUGAAAAAAAUAAACUUUGCAUCAUCGUUUCCAUUGGAGAAACAUUUGCGUCAAUGAAGAAUGCUUAUGUUAUUAUUGAUAUCUAUAAACUGGACAAUAUAAGAGCAAUAUAGAUGUAUGUUUCAAGUGGUUUUUAGCUCUUCAUGCAAAGUUCUCACAACAAUGUUUUCCAAUCUGGCAAUUCAUUCAACUUUUUUUUA
This is a long non-coding RNA of Condylostylus longicornis, 451 nucleotides long. RefSeq lists it as uncharacterized. The transcript is spliced from 3 exons. The record is from RefSeq and is a predicted model, not a curated record. NCBI's taxonomy places the organism in Eukaryota, Metazoa, Arthropoda, Insecta, Diptera, Dolichopodidae.